ACCAACAGGGGACUAUUUCACAUUCAAUCCACAAUGUCUACUCUACAGAGUGAUUUUUCAGUCUUAAGUAGAAUAUAAAUUCUAUGUGUUUUUAGAUGUAAAUGCAAGGAAAGGGUAUCAGUGGGUAUUAAGUAUUCCAUUUGUAUACUUUUUUUUUUUUUUACUUCUAGUUUAAGCCAAGUUUUCUACUUUAAUUUUUGGCACCAAGACCUUCCCCCAAGGUGGGGGUCAUGUUCAUGGUCCGUGCUGUCUGUCACGAGAAAAGAUGAGGAAGUCUAUGAUCUGAGCUCCAGCUGACUAUAAAGAAGCAGGAAAGUUACUUUGGCAGUGAUGUGAACGACUGCAGACACCACAAUUGAGAAAGAGGAACAUGGAAGGCUACUGUAAUGAUCCCACCCUCGUCACACCACACCCCCACACCUAAGUAACGGCCUAAAAAGGAGUUGUGAAUGUGCGAUCUAUGAGGUUUAAGAGCUAUUUCCUGUAUGAUGGAGGUCGUCUGACACGAAGCAAGUGUGCGAGCACGGAUCUUAAAUUUAAAUCAAUUUUGACUGAACCGUGUUAGAACUCAUCUCCCAAGAACAGAGGUGAUUAAUUGAAACAUCACCUUUGGUGGCCUACGCCCUCUGUCUCCCUCCGUAUGUCACUGUGUGUGAAGGACUGAGAUGCAGUAUCAGAAAUAGGAGGAGUAGCUAAAUAACUCCAGGCGAUGGCGUUGCACUCUU
Molecule: long non-coding RNA, 725 nt
Filed under: Rattus norvegicus (Norway rat)
Lineage: Eukaryota; Metazoa; Chordata; Mammalia; Rodentia; Muridae
Description: long non-coding RNA NONRATT007011
Source: RNAcentral